UAAUACGAGGGGUGCAAGCGUUAAUCGGAAUUACUGGGCGUAAAGCGUUCGUAGGCGGUUUGUUAAGCAAGAUGUGAAAGCCCCGGGCUCAACCUGGGAACUGCAUUUUGAACUGGCAAGCUAGAGUACUGUAGAGGGUGGUGGAAUUUCCAGUGUAGCGGUGAAAUGCGUAGAGAUUGGAAGGAACAUCAGUGGCGAAGGCGGCCACCUGGACAGAUACUGACGCUGAGGAACGAAAGCGUGGGGAGCAAACAGGAUUAGAUACCCUGGUAGUCCACGCCGUAAACGAUGUCAACUAUCCGUUCGUAGACUUGAUCUGUGAGUGGAGCAGCUAACGCAAUAAGUUGACCGCCUGGGGAGUACGGCCGCAAGGUUA
This 376-nucleotide ribosomal RNA is filed under the name uncultured Gammaproteobacteria bacterium. RNAcentral describes it as "bacterial SSU rRNA". It matches the Rfam family "Bacterial small subunit ribosomal RNA", at positions 521 to 896 of the family's 1533-position model. Lineage: Bacteria; Pseudomonadati; Pseudomonadota; Gammaproteobacteria. The record is from RNAcentral.